AUGCACGCUGCAGAUCGCCGCGGCAUCCACGCCAGCUCGCCGCACUCGCUAUGGCCGUCAGCUCACCGCGGUGCGAGCGCUGCAGGGCGAGGAGCUCGUACGGUACAAGCCCGCCCGCACCUCCUCUCAGGGCAGUUCCUCUCGUUCGGGUGCUCCAACGUGAAGUUCGCAUCGGCGGUGGCGUACCACCGCAUGGCGCGGAGGGUGGUCGUCUCCAACCUCCUCUCGGUGCGCCAUGUGGCCACCUACGGCAGCGUCCGGGGCAAGGAGCUUCGCCGCCUCCUAGCGCACCUCACCAAGAUCACCGCGGCGGGCGCCACCGUCGACCUCAGCGAGUGCUUGCUCAACCUCGCCAACGAUGUGAUCUCUCACAUCGCCUUCGGCCGCCGGUUCCCACACGGCAUGGACGACAAGCCCGUGUGA
RNAcentral lists this ribosomal RNA (423 nucleotides) under Triticum aestivum (bread wheat). Its description in RNAcentral is "partial small subunit ribosomal RNA". Lineage: Eukaryota; Viridiplantae; Streptophyta; Magnoliopsida; Poales; Poaceae. The record is from RNAcentral.